GUGCUCUCUUCAGCAGCACAUAUAAUAAAAUUGGAAUGAUACAGAGAAGAUGAGCAUGGUCCCUGUGCAAGCUGACAAUCAAAUUCGUGAAGUGUUCCAUAUUUUU
Small nuclear RNA from Equus asinus (donkey), 106 nucleotides. The record is from Ensembl. Lineage: Eukaryota; Metazoa; Chordata; Mammalia; Perissodactyla; Equidae.